This 416-nucleotide ribosomal RNA is filed under the name uncultured bacterium. RNAcentral describes it as "bacterial SSU rRNA". It matches the Rfam family "Bacterial small subunit ribosomal RNA", at positions 506 to 920 of the family's 1533-position model. The record is from RNAcentral.
AGCCAGCAGCCGCGGUAAUACGGGGGGGGCAAGCGUUGUUCGGAAUUACUGGGCGUAAAGGGCUCGUAGGCGGCUGCCUAAGUCGGACGUGAAAUCCCACGGCUCAACCGUGGAACUGCGUCCGGUACUGGGCGGCUUGAAUCCAAGAGAGGGAUGCGGAAUUCCAGGUGUAGCGGUGAAAUGCGUAGAUAUCUGGAGGAACACCGGUGGCGAAGGCGGCAUCCUGGAUUGGUAUUGACGCUGAUGAGCGAAAGCCAGGGGAGCAAACGGGAUUAGAUACCCCGGUAGUCCUGGCCCUAAACGAUGAAUGCUUGGUGUGGUGGGUAUCGAUCCCCGCCGUGCCGAAGCUAACGCAUUAAGCAUUCCGCCUGGGGAGUACGGUCGCAAGGCUGAAACUUAAAGGAAUUGGCGGGGGA